This 230-nucleotide unclassified non-coding RNA is filed under the name Hevea brasiliensis (rubber tree). The record is from RNAcentral. Lineage: Eukaryota; Viridiplantae; Streptophyta; Magnoliopsida; Malpighiales; Euphorbiaceae.
UUUUUCCUUCUUUCGUGCCACUAGCAAAAUUAAAACCCGAAAAUAUUCAAUCCAACAUUAUCCAGACACAGAAGUGAUCAAAAGAUCGCAACAGACUCGAGAAUCCAAGCAAAUGAAAAAUAAAACGAGAAAUUCCACGAGAUCAGCCAAACAAAAGAAAAACAAGGAAAGAGAAAGAUGCAGAUCUCCAUAUUAAAGGUGAAAAGACCUGCGCUGCAAGAGGUAGGAGG